UUCAAAACAUUGAAAUAAUGAAAUGACCAGCCCAGUCACCUGAUCUUAAACCAAAAGAAAACCUUAUUGCCAAGAAACCCACUAACUACUGUAUAGUCACUGAACUGUGGAAGUAACUGGAAGAAGAGUGGACCAAAAUCACUCCAGAGCAGUGUGAGAGACUAGUUUGCUGGUCAUUCAAAGUCUCUGUGAGCUAUGGCUGGCUUUCCCUGUGUGCCGAAGAUCUCUACGUGCAGGUGCGCCAGGCCGCUGGCGAUGGACAGCGCCAUCCUCAGGCAGGCCGGGGCAUCCAGCGUGCUGAGCUGCAGAUAAUCAUACAGGGAACCCAUCUCGUGAUAAUGUGUGAUCAGCCACAGCUGAGUGCUAGAGUUACGAGACGUCAUGUCGGAUGCAAUAAAGCCUGUAAGAAGACGAAAAGAAAUAAAACCUUGUAUUAAUCUUA
Molecule: long non-coding RNA, 442 nt
Organism: Tachysurus fulvidraco (yellow catfish)
Lineage: Eukaryota; Metazoa; Chordata; Actinopteri; Siluriformes; Bagridae
Exons: 2
Source: RefSeq, a predicted model, not a curated record